GCUCUUUGAACUUCAAGCUCUAUGAAGUAAGUUGACUUUUCUAUUUUUAACAGAAUGGACUUGAAAUAAACAACUGCUGUACCCAUUACAAGCGUCACCACGCAACAGGUUCAGCUAGCUGCACAGAAUUCAAAAUUCAGUUGAAAGCAAUUUGCAUUAGUGGAGGAAAAUGAUUAAAAACUUAAUGAUCAAAUGACAAUAAUCUGGUAUUGUGGCGGAAAGGGCAGCAGUAAACUGUUCGAUUCUGAUUGAAAGUGACCUGUGACAAUAAAUUUAUGAGAAACAUAUUCACUAACCGUUGACAUUGUAGUCAUGUGUAAUUAAUCCUUUUCCGGAUACAACGAGUGCACCCAAAUCGCGAUUCUGCUUAUAUAUAACGAUGUUACAGACUGCGUUUAAUUCCAAGGAAACAGAUUUCACGACAAACAACCAUGUAUGCACUUCUCAAAACCGCUCUUCUUCUUGUGCUUUUUGUUGCAAACACUUUAUCUCAAGGCGUUAAUAACUGGAACAACAGGAACAGACCCUGGAAUAACAAUCGUAAUGGAUGGAAUAACAAUCGUAAUAGGUGGAAUAAUAAUCGUAAUGGAUGGAAUAAUGGAUGGAACGCUAAUAAUAGACCGUGGUGACCAGGACGAAAAUGUUCAUUGACAACUAUGAGAGAUUAUACAUAAGAAAACUACCAAAGCCUUUGUAUAAGAAAAUGGAGGCUUGUGUCAUAAAAAGAAUGGCUGUGAUAAUCUAUACCGAAAACUCUUAGUGGUACAAUAGAAUUGUGAUGUGGUGUUUGACUCACAUCACGUAACAGUGAGUUUUGUAAUAAACUAAUUUUGAAAGAUACCUAA
Molecule: long non-coding RNA, 845 nt
Organism: Ostrea edulis (European flat oyster)
Lineage: Eukaryota; Metazoa; Mollusca; Bivalvia; Ostreida; Ostreidae
Exons: 2
Source: RefSeq, a predicted model, not a curated record